This 369-nucleotide unclassified non-coding RNA is filed under the name Hevea brasiliensis (rubber tree). The record is from RNAcentral. Lineage: Eukaryota; Viridiplantae; Streptophyta; Magnoliopsida; Malpighiales; Euphorbiaceae.
GGGCAAUCAUGAUUCAAUCUCUGUAAACUCAUUUUCUCAACGAAUUAAAGUACAGGCUACAAAAAUUUGAUCAGUGUUCAACAAGACCAUUUGAGAACAUCAAGUUAUAGAAUAAAUAGAAUCUUUGUUCCACUGGAGAAAGUCCAUCGAGUCUAAAUAUCCACUAUAUUACAGUAUUGAUCACUCAUUGAACCAACAAAUAAUUUUACGUUUGUCACCUAUAAACUGCACAGGAUAUAGAUUCACAUGAUGGGAAGAUCAAAAAGAGCACAAAAAAAUAUGCAAGAUUUGCAUAACUUCACCUCCUUAUUGAGAGGAUUUGGAAGCCUUGAGAUUUCUCUUUUUUAGCAGUUGAUUCCACACUGCUCA